CACGUAGGGGCCAAGCGUUGUCCGGAUUCAUUGGGCGUAAAGAGCUCGUAGGCGGUUCAGUUAGUCGGGUGUGAAAUCUCCGGGCUCAACCCGGAGGGGCCACCCGAUACUGCUAUAGCUAGAGUCCAGUAGGGGAGUGUGGAAUUCCCAGUGUAGCGGUGAAAUGCGCAGAUAUUGGGAGGAACACCAGCGGCGAAGGCGGCACUCUGGGCUGGUACUGACGCUGAGGAGCGAAAGCGUGGGUAGCGAACAGG
RNAcentral lists this ribosomal RNA (254 nucleotides) under uncultured bacterium. RNAcentral's name for it is "partial 16S ribosomal RNA". It matches the Rfam family "Bacterial small subunit ribosomal RNA", at positions 524 to 776 of the family's 1533-position model. The record is from RNAcentral.